Molecule: long non-coding RNA, 80 nt
Organism: Etheostoma spectabile (orangethroat darter)
Lineage: Eukaryota; Metazoa; Chordata; Actinopteri; Perciformes; Percidae
Exons: 3
Source: RefSeq, a predicted model, not a curated record
AGUGGCCCAAUCCCAAAGUCCGGACUCACAGACUCAUGGACUUUGGUGUGCGUUCUCGCAAAAUUUACUGAAAAACUUCC